This 253-nucleotide ribosomal RNA is filed under the name Escherichia coli. RNAcentral describes it as "partial 23S ribosomal RNA". It matches the Rfam family "Bacterial large subunit ribosomal RNA", at positions 566 to 822 of the family's 2925-position model. Lineage: Bacteria; Pseudomonadati; Pseudomonadota; Gammaproteobacteria; Enterobacterales; Enterobacteriaceae. The record is from RNAcentral.
ACAAGCAGUGGGAGCCUCUUAAUGGGGUGACUGCGUACCUUUUGUAUAAUGGGUCAGCGACUUAUAUUCUGUAGCAAGGUUAACCGAAUAGGGGAGCCGAAGGGAAACCGAGUCUUAACUGGGCGUUAAGUUGCAGGGUAUAGACCCGAAACCCGGUGAUCUAGCCAUGGGCAGGUUGAAGGUUGGGUAACACUAACUGGAGGACCGAACCGACUAAUGUUGAAAAAUUAGCGGAUGACUUGUGGCUGGGGGU